AAAUUGAAGAGUUUGAUCAUGGCUCAGAUUGAACGCUGGCGGCAGGCCUAACACAUGCAAGUCGAACGGUAACAGGAAGCAGCUUGCUGCUUCGCUGACGAGUGGCGGACGGGUGAGUAAUGUCUGGGAAACUGCCUGAUGGAGGGGGAUAACUACUGGAAACGGUAGCUAAUACCGCAUAAUGUCGCAAGACCAAAGAGGGGGACCUUCGGGCCUCUUGCCAUCGGAUGUGCCCAGAUGGGAUUAGCUUGUUGGUGGGGUAACGGCUCACCAAGGCGACGAUCCCUAGCUGGUCUGAGAGGAUGAC
This 307-nucleotide ribosomal RNA is filed under the name Escherichia coli. Its description in RNAcentral is "bacterial SSU rRNA". It matches the Rfam family "Bacterial small subunit ribosomal RNA", at positions 1 to 304 of the family's 1533-position model. The record is from RNAcentral. Lineage: Bacteria; Pseudomonadati; Pseudomonadota; Gammaproteobacteria; Enterobacterales; Enterobacteriaceae. RNAcentral also lists the same sequence under 1 other name.